This is a long non-coding RNA of Dinoponera quadriceps, 832 nucleotides long. RefSeq lists it as uncharacterized. The transcript has 3 exons. Lineage: Eukaryota; Metazoa; Arthropoda; Insecta; Hymenoptera; Formicidae. The record is from RefSeq and is a predicted model, not a curated record.
GCGAGCGUGUUUUCAAGGGUGAGAAGCGACGCCGAAAUCGUACAGCGCUCGGAGGAGAGAAACAGCGUGUCUCAACUAAUGACAAAAACGGAAGAGAUUGUUGAUUUCAUCGGUAACAAUGUACCAAGAUGAAACGAUCACUCGAAGAGAAACAACAACGUCCACAACAGAUAAGAGUUCAUUAGGAACGAUUUGUCGCCUCGCUACUUGUCGCAUUGGCGAAAGGAACAUUGUGCGGUCUCGUGACAGGAAAAAACCAUAAACUUUUAGUCGCCUCCUUUUUCCCCUCGAGUCCUAUUUACCGUCCGAGUAUAUUCGUUUAAGCGUUAACGCUUUGGUCAAAGUUGUCGCUAAUUGGCUCCUUUUUGUGCAUCAAUCAAGCUCGAGUUACAACGACUUCUCACCUUCGCCCAUUAAUCUAUCGGUGGACAUACUCGUCAAGGGCGCGAAAUUCGCGCAGCGAAUACAGUGCGGAGGACACCACGUCGUGAGUGCACUCGUGGAUAUUAUUUUCGGAACUUGGUAACGUCACUCACUAAUAAUGUACUUGCAAUGACGACGACGCGAGGAAUUGCGUCUCAAUAAGAAAGCUUCCGAUCGAUCGUUAUAGCAAGGAGAAGAAGAUGCACCCCAAAUAGGAAUUUGUUACCGGCGUGGUACCAGUGUGGUAUACAAUACUAGAUGUCAGUACUGAUUUAAUAUUGAGGUGAUAAAAACGAGCCAGUAUCGUAACAAAACCGAGAAUCAGUAUUAUGGUACUGAAAAUAAUUACCGUAAUUAUUUAUCAAAAAUAUUCUUCAUGAUUUUUAAAAUAAUCUUUCUCAUAUCUGAA